This 1404-nucleotide long non-coding RNA is filed under the name Nicotiana tabacum (common tobacco). RNAcentral's name for it is "long non-coding RNA (NTAB_LNC002347)". The record is from RNAcentral. Lineage: Eukaryota; Viridiplantae; Streptophyta; Magnoliopsida; Solanales; Solanaceae.
AUCAGCAUUAGGGAUUUAAAACCCUAAACUGAAUUUUUCCUUUAAACAGCAUUAGGGUUUUAAACCCUAAACUAAAUUUUUCCUUUAGUCAGCAUUAGGGUUUUUAAACCCUAAACUGAACUUUUUCCGUUCAGCCAACAUUAGGGUUUUAAACCCUAAACUGAGCUUUUCCAUGCAACCGGCAUUAGGGUUUUAAACCCUAAACUGAACUCUUUCUAUUCAGCAAGUAUUAGGGUUUCAAACCCUAAACUGAGCUUUUCCAUGCAAUCAGCAUUAGGGUUUUAAACCCUAAACUGAAUUUUUCCUUUGGUCAGCAUUAGGGUUUUAACCUAAACUGAACUUUUUCCCAUUAGUCAGCAUUAGGGUUUUAAACCCUAAACUGAACUUUUUUCCAUUCAGCCAGCAUUAGGGUUUUAAACCCUAAACUGAGCUUUUCCAUGCAAUCAGCAUUAGGGUUUUAAACCCUAAACUGAAUUUUUCCUUUAGUCAGCAUUAGGGUUUUAAACCCUAAACUGAACUUUUUUCCAUUCAGCCAGCAUUAGAGUUUUAAACCCUAAACUGAGCUUUUUCAUGCAGUCAACAUUAGGGUUUUUAAACCCUAAACUGAACUUUUUCCGUUCAGCCAGCAUUAGGGUUUUAAACCCUAAACUGAGCUUUUCCAUGCAAUCAGCAUUAGGGUUUUAAACCCUAAACUGAAUUUUUCCUUUAGUCAGCGUUAGGGUUUUAAACCCUAAACUGAACUUUUUUCCAUUAGUCAGCAUUAGGGUUUUAAACCCUAAACUGAACUUUUUUCCAUUAAGCCAGCAUUAGGGUUUUAAACCCUAAACUGAGCUUUUCCAUGCAAUCAGCAUUAGGGUUUUAAACCCUAAACUGAGUUUUUCCUUUAGUCAGCAUUAGGGUUUUAAACCCUAAACUGAAUUUUCCUUUAGUCAUCAUUAGGGUUUUAAACCCUAAACUGAACUUUUUUCCAUUCAGCCAGCAUUAGGGUUUUAAACCCUAAACUGAAUUUUUCCUUUAGUCAGCAUUAGGGUUUUAAACCCUAAACUGAACUUUUUCCCAUUAGUCAGCAUUAGGGUUUUAAACCAUAAAAUGAACUUUUUUUCAUUCAGCCAGCAUUAGGGUUUUAAACCCUAAACUGAGCUUUUCCAUGCAAUCAGCAUUAGGGUUUUUAAACCCUAAACUGAACUUUUUCCGUUCAGCCAGCAUUAGGGUUUUAAACCCUAAACUGAGCUUUUCCAUGCAAUCAGCAUUAGGAUUUUAAACCCUAAACUGAAUUUUUCCUUUAGUCAGCAUUAAGGUUUUAAACCCUAAACUGAACUUUUUCCAUUCAGUCAGCAUUAGGGUUUUAAACCCUAAAUUAAACUUUUCCAUGCAAUCAGCAUUAGGGAUUUAAACCCUAAACUG